RNAcentral lists this ribosomal RNA (638 nucleotides) under uncultured bacterium. RNAcentral's name for it is "bacterial SSU rRNA". It matches the Rfam family "Bacterial small subunit ribosomal RNA", at positions 114 to 768 of the family's 1533-position model. The record is from RNAcentral.
CGCGUGAGGAACCUGCCUCAAAGAGGGGGACAACAGUUGAAACGACUGCUAAUACCGCAUAAGCCCACGACCCGGCAUCGGGGUUGAGGGAAAAGGAGCAAUCCGCUUUGAGAUGGCCUCGCGUCCGAUUAGCUAGUUGGUGAGGUAACGGCCCACCAAGGCGACGAUCGGUAGCCGGACUGAGAGGUUGAACGGCCACAUUGGGACUGAGGCACGGCCCAGACUCCUACGGGAGGCAGCAGUGGGGAAUAUUGCACAAUGGGGGAAACCCUGAUGCAGCGACGCCGCGUGGAGGAAGAAGGUCUUCGGAUUGUAAACUCCUGUUGUUGAGGAAGAUAGUGACGGUACUCAACAAGGAAGUGACGGCUAACUACGUGCCAGCAGCCGCGGUAAAACGUAGGUCACAAGCGUUGUCCGGAAUUACUGGGUGUAAAGGGAGCGCAGGCGGGAAGACAAGUUGGAAGUGAAAUCCAUGGGCUCAACCCAUGAACUGCUUUCAAAACUGUUUUUCUUGAGUAGUGCAGAGGUAGGCGGAAUUCCCGGUGUAGCGGUGGAAUGCGUAGAUAUCGGGAGGAACACCAGUGGCGAAGGCGGCCUACUGGGCACCAACUGACGCUGAGGCUCGAAAGUGUGGGUAG